RNAcentral lists this ribosomal RNA (840 nucleotides) under Dendrostoma aurorae. RNAcentral describes it as "LSU rRNA". It matches the Rfam family "Eukaryotic large subunit ribosomal RNA", at positions 69 to 939 of the family's 3401-position model. The record is from RNAcentral. Lineage: Eukaryota; Fungi; Ascomycota; Sordariomycetes; Diaporthales; Erythrogloeaceae.
CAGGGAUUGCCCUAGUAACGGCGAGUGAAGCGGCAACAGCUCAAAUUUGAAAUCUGGCUUCGGCCCGAGUUGUAAUUUGCAGAGGAUGUUUCUGGCGCGGUGCCUUCCGAGUUCCCUGGAACGGGACGCCACAGAGGGUGAGAGCCCCGUAUGGUUGGACACCAAGCCUGUGUGAAACUCCUUCGACGAGUCGAGUAGUUUGGGAAUGCUGCUCAAAAUGGGAGGUAAAUCUCUUCUAAAGCUAAAUACCGGCCAGAGACCGAUAGCGCACAAGUAGAGUGAUCGAAAGAUGAAAAGCACCUUGAAAAGGGGGUUAAACAGUACGUGAAAUUGUUGAAAGGGAAGCACUUGUGACCAGACUUGUGCCGGGCGGCUCAUCCGGGGUUCUCCCCGGUGCACUCCGCCCGGUAUAGGCCAGCAUCGGUUCUUUCUGGGGGAUAAGAACGGUGGGAACGUGGCCCUCCCUCGGGAGGGUGUUAUAGCCCGCCGUACGAUACCCUGGAGGGGACCGAGGUUCGCGCUCCGCAAGGAUGCUGGCGUAAUGGUCACCAGUGACCCGUCUUGAAACACGGACCAAGGAGUCGUCCAUUAGAGCGAGCGUUUGGGUGUCAAACCCGCACGCGUAAUGAAAGUGAAAUUAGGUGAGAGCUUCGGCGCAUCAUCGACCGAUCCUGAUGUUCUCGGAUGGAUUUGAGUAAGAGUUUUAACGGACGGACCCGAAAGACAGUGAACUAUGCUUGUAUAGGGUGAAGCCAGAGGAAACUCUGGUGGAGGCUCGCAGCGGUUCUGACGUGCAAAUCGAUCGUCAAAUAUGAGCAUGGGGGCGAAAGACUAAUCGAA